This 428-nucleotide ribosomal RNA is filed under the name uncultured Moraxellaceae bacterium. RNAcentral describes it as "bacterial SSU rRNA". It matches the Rfam family "Bacterial small subunit ribosomal RNA", at positions 355 to 774 of the family's 1533-position model. The record is from RNAcentral. Lineage: Bacteria; Pseudomonadati; Pseudomonadota; Gammaproteobacteria; Moraxellales; Moraxellaceae.
UGGGGAAUAUUGGACAAUGGGCGCAAGCCUGAUCCAGCCAUGCCGCGUGUGUGAAGAAGGCCUUUUGGUUGUAAAGCACUUUAAGCGAGGAGGAGGCUACCCUGACUAAUAUUCAGGAGUAGUGGACGUUACUCGCAGAAUAAGCACCGGCUAACUCUGUGCCAGCAGCCGCGGUAAUACAGAGGGUGCGAGCGUUAAUCGGAAUUACUGGGCGUAAAGCGCGCGUAGGCGGUUUGUUAAGUCGGAUGUGAAAUCCCCGGGCUCAACCUGGGAAUUGCAUUCGAUACUGGCAAGCUAGAGUAUGGGAGAGGAAGGUAGAAUUCCAGGUGUAGCGGUGAAAUGCGUAGAGAUCUGGAGGAAUACCGAUGGCGAAGGCAGCCUUCUGGCCUAAUACUGACGCUGAGGUGCGAAAGCAUGGGGAGCAAACA